RNAcentral lists this ribosomal RNA (253 nucleotides) under uncultured bacterium. RNAcentral describes it as "partial 16S ribosomal RNA". It matches the Rfam family "Bacterial small subunit ribosomal RNA", at positions 524 to 776 of the family's 1533-position model. The record is from RNAcentral.
UACGAAGGGUGCAAGCGUUACUCGGAAUUACUGGGCGUAAAGGGUGCGUAGGUGGUUGUUUAAGUCUGUUGUGAAAGCCCCGGGCUCAACCUGGGAAUGGCAAUGGAUACUGGACAGCUAGAGUGCGGUAGAGGGUAGUGGAAUUCCUGGUGUAGCAGUGAAAUGCGUAGAGAUCGGGAGGAACACCAGUGGCGAAGGCGGCUACCUGGACCAGCACUGACACUGAAGCACGAAAGCGUGGGGAGCAAACAGG